UGGUAAUAAAAUCCGCAUGUGCCACGUCAAACGCCCAAACCUCAGACUGCUUCUCAUCCAGUGAACGUUAGAUCAAGGCUUUGAUAGACUGAACAAUGUUCCUUAAAAAGACAUGCUCGAAAUUGUUGCUUCUUUGUUUGUUUUGUAUUGCCUUAGAACCGGUUCUUGGGUCCGAUGCAGCAAGUGUUAACGAACCUGCACCGCUCAGCUCGAGUUUAGGCUUAGAAGUGCGCCAAUUGCUUGAAUGGCAACGAAAAAAAUUGUGCCGCAUGGAUAGAAGAUACUGCUAUUCAUAAAAACGUUGUUGUUUUAUUAAGGUUAGACAAUACUGAUAAAAAACAAAUUAUUUAA
Molecule: long non-coding RNA, 351 nt
Organism: Physella acuta
Lineage: Eukaryota; Metazoa; Mollusca; Gastropoda; Physidae
Source: RefSeq, a predicted model, not a curated record